GGUUGACAGCAUGUUAGGCAGGCGUGAGAAUCCUGGAGAACAUGAAGCAAUGCGUAAAAUGAAGAAUGAAUUCAUGGUAAACUGGGAUGGUUUACGUACAAAGGAUAAGGAACGCGUACUGGUACUUGCUGCAACCAAUAGGCCUUUUGACCUUGAUGAGGCUGUUGUGCGGAGGCUUCCUCGAAGGAAAGUUAUAGAUUUGUGGGUUUUCUUCAUUCAUUCCAUAUGGCUAGUGGAAGAGCGUUUUUAGUGAUGAUUUUGAUGUUUACAUAAUGCAGGUUGAUGGUAAACCUCCCAGAUGCCACAAAUAGAGAGAAAAUUUUACGAGUUAUAUUGGCCAAGGAAGAAUUGGGACCUGGUGUUCAUCUCGAAGCAGUAGCUAAUAUGACUGAAGGGUAUUCAGGAAGUGAUUUGAAGG
This 418-nucleotide long non-coding RNA is filed under the name Panax ginseng (ginseng). RNAcentral's name for it is "long non-coding RNA (PGIN_LNC008141)". The record is from RNAcentral. Lineage: Eukaryota; Viridiplantae; Streptophyta; Magnoliopsida; Apiales; Araliaceae.